AAAGACUUAGUUAAACAUAUAACAUUAAUUUGUCAAAUUAAAAUAAUUGAAAAAUAGUCUUUG
RNAcentral lists this transfer RNA (63 nucleotides) under Cryphalus piceae. RNAcentral's name for it is "tRNA-Asp". The record is from RNAcentral. Lineage: Eukaryota; Metazoa; Arthropoda; Insecta; Coleoptera; Curculionidae.